This 253-nucleotide ribosomal RNA is filed under the name uncultured Methanomassiliicoccales archaeon. RNAcentral describes it as "partial 16S ribosomal RNA". It matches the Rfam family "Archaeal small subunit ribosomal RNA", at positions 474 to 727 of the family's 1478-position model. Lineage: Archaea; Methanobacteriati; Thermoplasmatota; Thermoplasmata; Methanomassiliicoccales. The record is from RNAcentral.
UACCCGCGCCCCUAGUGGUGGUCGAUAUUAUUGAGCCUAAAACGUCCGUAGCCGGUCUUCUAAAUCCUUGGGUAAAUCGGGCAGCUUAACUGUCCGAAGUCCGGGGAGACUGGGAGACUUGGGACCGGGAGAGGUGAGAGGUACUCCAGGGGUAGGAGUGAAAUCCUGUAAUCCUGGAAGGACCACCGGUGGCGAAGGCGUCUGACUAGAACGGAUCCGACGGUGAGGGACGAAGCCCUGGGGCGCAAACGGG